This 57-nucleotide transfer RNA is filed under the name Loxodonta africana (African savanna elephant). The record is from Rfam by way of RNAcentral. Lineage: Eukaryota; Metazoa; Chordata; Mammalia; Proboscidea; Elephantidae.
UGGCAUAGUGGUUAAGCACUCGGCUGCUAACUGAAAGGUUGGUGGUUUGAACCCACC